Molecule: non-coding RNA, 31 nt
Filed under: Mus musculus (house mouse)
Lineage: Eukaryota; Metazoa; Chordata; Mammalia; Rodentia; Muridae
Source: RNAcentral
AGUGCUUUGUAAUGCAAAGGUGACCCAACGU